CCUACGGGGGGCUGCAGUGGGGAAUAUUGGACAAUGGGCGAAAGCCUGAUCCAGCCAUGCCGCGUGUGUGAAGAAGGCCUUCGGGUUGUAAAGCACUUUCAGUGGGGAAGAAAGCCUUGGGGCUAAUACCCUCGAGGAAGGACAUCACCCACAGAAGAAGCACCGGCUAACUCCGUGCCAGCAGCCGCGGUAAUACGGAGGGUGCGAGCGUUAAUCGGAAUUACUGGGCGUAAAGCGCGCGUAGGUGGUCUGAUAAGCCGGUUGUGAAAGCCCCGGGCUCAACCUGGGAACGGCAUCCGGAACUGUCAGGCUAGAGUGCAGGAGAGGAAGGUAGAAUUCCCGGUGUAGCAGUGAAAUGCGUAGAGAUCGGGAGGAAUACCAGUGGCGAAGGCGGCCUUCUGGACUGACACUGACGCUGAGGUGCGAAAGCGUGGGUAGCAAACAGGAUUAGAUACCCCUGUAGUC
RNAcentral lists this ribosomal RNA (465 nucleotides) under Vreelandella stevensii. RNAcentral's name for it is "partial 16S ribosomal RNA". It matches the Rfam family "Bacterial small subunit ribosomal RNA", at positions 338 to 795 of the family's 1533-position model. Lineage: Bacteria; Pseudomonadati; Pseudomonadota; Gammaproteobacteria; Oceanospirillales; Halomonadaceae. The record is from RNAcentral.